Molecule: long non-coding RNA, 644 nt
Filed under: Solanum lycopersicum (tomato)
Lineage: Eukaryota; Viridiplantae; Streptophyta; Magnoliopsida; Solanales; Solanaceae
Description: partial TCONS_00070012
Source: RNAcentral
AUCUAUGCUAUGAAAAUUCAAACCCAUUUACACAAACCAUUUUUGCUCCUCCUGGUUGCUUGUUCCUCUUUGUCUUGCUCCUUUUGGCUAUAAUCGAACAAUAGGUUGCAUAUGGUUAGUCAUCAUGUUUAUUGAGUAAUUUGGUAUUGAUUAUGUAAGCAAUCGAUAAGGUAAAAGAACUGGCAUAGGGAGAAAAAGUUUGGAAGAGAAGAAAAGUCUGCUGCUACAACUCUGUCAUCAAAGGUUGUGAAUGUCGUUCUUGCAAUCGGAACUGAUGAUAGGCUGAACAUCAAAAUUAAGAAGCUUCCAGAAUUGCUAGUGUUUCAACAGCUAUGGCCUUCCCUACAAAUUGAAUAGGGGUACCAAAGGCAUGAAGCAAAUGUCCACAGCUAUCUAUAGCCGCCAUUCUGAUGCUUGCUUUUUCCUUCUCCCGUUGUAGCCAUGGAUCAUGAAAACAACAACCCCAUCUCGGGCCAAAGUAAUGUUACAUCAUAAAUCUUGUUUGAUAUAGGAUUCACAACUGCUGAAUUAUUCACAACAUCGUCAGAUUCAUGUAAAUCAAACAAAGGUUUAUUAACAACGUCAUUAGGUUCAUAUGUACGACCAUUAAAGCAUAAUGAACUUCCCGCUUUUCACAUUUGCCA